UUUGUAUAUUGAAAAAAACAAAAACCACUUCCCUUUUCAAAGACAGUUGUUUGUGGUAAGAGUUCUAUCACAAGGCAUUGUAACUGUGAAACAGGUAAGUUGUCACAUGCACUUUACCUGAAAAUUCAGACUAUAUUAGAGUGUGGUUGUGCUUUCUUGUAGGAUUGCCUUUCAGGAGCAUUACAUACUGAAGGGAAGAGUGGAAGCUCCCUAGGGUACAAAGGUGACACAUACAGCUCACUGGAAAAUACAGAUAUUUUUUUAUCCAAAUGUUCUUUAGAGUCAGAAUUUACUGAAAAUGGAAAAGACAACAGCAUUAGAUCUUCUAGUGAUUUCCUCCGAAGUUUCAAAGCCUGGGAUUGGUUUGAUGAUGAGCAAGAUUCAUGUUGUGAUUCAAGUGGUCUAGAAAAAGAAGAAAAGGCCAUUAAUUGGUCUGAAACUAAUGCAAUUCAGAAUGCAGCUAUGUAUGUAGAAACAGGCAGCACCUUACCUUCUCAUUUGGCUGCAAAUACACAAGAAAAUAGUGACCAAAAUGUUACAAAUGGUUUGCUAAGGAAAAUUAUAAGUGGAACUAAUGCUCAAGCAUGCAGUAGUCAAGGCUUAAUACCGCCUCACAUCAGUCAAAUUUAUGAUGAAUUAUUUGUCAUACAUCAGAAGCUCCAGAGAGAAAGUUUAGCACAGCAGGAAUAUGCUCUUCAACUCCGGAAAAGAGAGCAUUUUAUAACAGAACGAGAAACAGUGCUUUUUAGACAUGAAGCAGCUUUGGCUAAAAUACGAGGUGUUGAGGAAGAAGUUCACUCAAAAUUUGGAAUUAUAAAAGAGCAACAUGAGGCAGAAGUUAAACAGCUGACAGAAAUCUUGAGAGAAAUAACUAAAGAAAAUAGGAGGCUGAAGUCAUCAUUUGACACCUUGAAGGAAGUGAAUGACUCUUUAAGAAAACAGUUAAGUGAUGUAACUGAGCUGAACAAGAAGUUGGAAGGUCAAGCAAGAAAAGUACAAGCUCGUUUAGAGAAUCUGCAAAGGAAGCAUGAAUUGUUAACAGUACAGAAGUCUAAGAAUAUCUGUCAAGUGGUGCAACAAAGUAAACCUGUCAAGCAGGAAAAAGUGAUGGUAACAUCGAAAAAUGCUAAGCUACCAACAAAUUCACAAGUUUAUGAGCUCCUAACUUUUCUUAUGGAUUGGAUCUCAGACCAGCAUCUCAGCAAAAUAAAAAUACAUGAAGAAAGAGGGGACAGUUCUAAACCUCUGGCUAUCGAGACCUCAAAAAAGACCUGCACCCAGGAAAGAUGUAUGAAGCUUCUGCCUCUAGCUACUGAGCAACUCCAGUGGAUGCCAUUUGUGAAUUCCAAACUACACAUGCCUGUAAUUAAAUUUAUUUACUGGUCUAUAAGACAGUUAGACACUGGUGUUCAGCAUGCAGCAAUGACAUCAACAAUGAGGAGACUUGGUGAAGAUAUUUUCAAAGGCAUAGUAGUUAAGGGAAACCCAGAUAGUUCUUCUGAGCAGUCUACAGAGAGUAAAUCAAAAUUGGCAGCUUUUUUUAAGAGCUCCUGUAUGCCUUUGAGAUUUCUCUCAACUUUAAUUGUGCUUAAAACAGUGACACAAGUGGAUUACCUGGCUCAGGCAUUUGAUUCCCUUCGAACAGACUUGAAGACAGGUGAAGGGAAGGCCUUAUUUUUGGAAUACCAGUGUGUGCCUGUUAUAUUAAGUCACCUAAAAGCAUCCAGUAGAGGUCUGCUUUCCAUUGCUCUUGAUGGAUUACUUCAGAUGACCAUGGAAUCUGAUUCUGUACAGCCUUUCCUGGAAGCCUGCAGUAAUGAAUCCUUCUUCCGAACUUGCUCUGUUUUGCUUCGAAGUUCUAAGCUAGAUACUCAGAUUUUGGAAAAGCUCUGUGUGAUACUGCAAAAACUCUCCAGAAUAAAAAGUAAUAAGAAGAUGUUUGAAAUGUUUACUCUUCACCAAAUGAUCCAAGAACUGCACAGGACUACAAACCCAGAUCAUGUUUUUCUCUGUAUAAACCUCAACUCAAUUCUGUUAAAUUUGGGAUUGUCAAGGAGUAACUCUCUUAUCUCCGGUUUACGCACAAGUCACUAGCACUAUCAUUCAGUCUAAUUUUUGUUCUGUAUAACUUUUACCAACAGCCUAUGUUACUUGAAAUUUGGAGGGGUUUUCUUACUGUUGUGUGUAAAUUAAUUAAGCAGAACCUCAGUACUGUAUGUUAAUCUGUAUUGUGUGGAUUCUCAUUAAUAUUUCCCUUACUCAUAAAAAGGAAAAUGAAAAUUGGCAUAAUAUGUAAAAUGGCUUUCUUAAUUGAAAGAAAUUAAAAUAAUGCUUCUAAUCUGAGCAAUUCGUGUAUCCUAAGGAACUGGAUCACUUGAGUCAGCAGAUCAGGAAUACCACCCUUUCCUUACAGAACUCUUUGAACUGAGUCUUUGAAGUUGAAUUCUAAAUGCAGAUAUUUUUCUAGCAAUGUGACUUGCAUUUCUGACAAGCUUUCCUAUGAAAGGAGUCUACACGACAUUUGGCACCAUGUAUGUCCAGAAGAGAGAACAAGCAGUGUGUACUCUCUGGGCAGGAAAUGAAUUCUAGGUAAUUUUUAAAUCACACAAAUAAUUGCUAAAAGCUUUUGCUGACAGCUGGUUAUGUUUUGGAAUAGGAUUUCUUCAUCAGGCGUUUCAGAAUUUUGUCAGAUUUACCUGAAGUGCAAAAGCUUGCUUAUACCUUUGGCUGGAGACAAAACCCUCUUAUUUAGGAAGUGUGUUCCCAGUCCUCAUGUGCUUCUCCAUCCACUUGGUUAUUAAAAAUACUAGAAAAUAAAUAAAUAAAAAUCUAUAGAAAGUUGUUGGGUUUCCUGCAUUCCCAGGAAUGUUGAUUGUGCUUAUGGCUUUCAGCCUUCAUCACUGUGGUUUGUUAAUCUAACCUUUUUUGUGGUACCAAUUUAACACUGUGUGUUCAUCUAAUAAUUGCAAAGGUAAUUCAAUAAAAGAGCAUGAUGUAGCUUUUACGAUGGGUCCCUUCUGUUUUCUUUUCUGUGGGAUUUACAGUCUGACAAGAUGAAUCACCAAUCAAAUUUUUAUGAUCUAGAAUGUUUGUUAAAAUGCAAAAAAAAAUUUUGAAUCUGUUACAUAUUAAUGCAAUUAAAUUGAUGAUUAAUUAAGGAUAAGACAAAUGAUUUUGAUCUUAGGUAAAUUUUAACUGGGCUGUAAAGAAAAAUAGAAGUUCUUGAUUUAACAUUCAUAUAACAGUAAACAAAAAGUAUCAGGAAUAAAGAAAUAAAUUAAUUAUGAAUAUGAAGUGUCUUUUGAAGAAUAGAUACUUCUAUAAAUAAAAAAGCUCUAGUAAAGUUCCAAAA
This is an RNA transcript of Neopsephotus bourkii (Bourke's parrot), 3352 nucleotides long. It is a transcript of the gene named coiled-coil domain containing 138, with no coding region annotated. The transcript has 15 exons. NCBI's taxonomy places the organism in Eukaryota, Metazoa, Chordata, Aves, Psittaciformes, Psittacidae. The record is from RefSeq and is a predicted model, not a curated record.